Molecule: ribosomal RNA, 878 nt
Filed under: uncultured marine group I thaumarchaeote
Lineage: Archaea; Thermoproteati; Nitrososphaerota
Description: SSU rRNA
Rfam family: Archaeal small subunit ribosomal RNA
Source: RNAcentral
CUGACUGCUAUCGGAUUGAUACUAAGCCAUGCGAGUCUUUGUAGUAAUACAAGGCAGACGGCUCAGUAACACGUAGUCAACCUACCCUAUGGACAAGAAUAAUCUCGGGAAACUGGGCAUAAUUCUUGAUAGAUCAUAAUGCCUGGAAUGGUUUAUGGUUAAAAUGAUUCGUCGCCAUAGGAUGGGACUGCGGCCUAUCAGCUUGUUGGUGAGGUAAUGGCCCACCAAGGCGAUUACAGGUACGGGCUCUGAGAGGAGAAGCCCGGAGAUGGGUACUGAGACACGGACCCAGGCCCUAUGGGGCGCAGCAGGCGAGAAAACUUUGCAAUGUGCGAAAGCACGACAAGGUUAAUCCGAGUGAUUUCUGCUAAAGAAAUCUUUUGCCAGUCAUAAAACCACUGGUGAAUAAGGGGUGGGCAAGUUCUGGUGUCAGCCGCCGCGGUAAAACCAGCACCUCAAGUGGUCAGGAUGAUUAUUGGGCCUAAAGCAUCCGUAGCCGGCUUUGUAAGUUUUCGGUUAAAUCCAUGUGCUCAACGCAUGGGCUGCCGAAAAUACUGCAUGGCCAGGGAGUGGGAGAGGUAGACGGUACUCAGUAGGAAGGGGUAAAAUCCUUUGAUCUAUUGAUGACCACCUGUGGCGAAGGCGGUCUACCAGAACACGUUCGACGGUGAGGGAUGAAAGCUGGGGGAGCAAACCGGAUUAGAUACCCGGGUAGUCCCAGCUGUAAACGAUGCAGACUCGAUGAUGCAUUGGCAUAAUAGCCAGUGCAGUGUCGCAGGGAAGCCGUUAAGUCUGCCGCCUGGGAAGUACGUACGCAAGUAUGAAACUUAAAGGAAUUGGCGGGGGAGCACCACAAGGGGUGAAGCCUGCGGUUCAAU